Molecule: ribosomal RNA, 253 nt
Filed under: uncultured bacterium
Lineage: Bacteria
Description: partial 16S ribosomal RNA
Rfam family: Bacterial small subunit ribosomal RNA
Source: RNAcentral
UACGAAGGGGGCUAGCGUUGUUCGGAAUCACUGGGCGUAAAGCGCACGUAGGCGGACUUUCAAGUCAGGGGUGAAAUCCCGGGGCUCAACCCCGGAACUGCCUUUGAUACUGGUAGUCUCGAGUCCGGAAGAGGUGAGUGGAAUUCCGAGUGUAGAGGUGAAAUUCGUAGAUAUUCGGAGGAACACCAGUGGCGAAGGCGGCUCACUGGUCCGGUACUGACGCUGAGGUGCGAAAGCGUGGGGAGCAAACAGG